GCUGCACAAUGGAAUCGUACUAGAGACCACCACAAAGAAAGGGAACACAGCCCUGCACAUCGCGGCCCUGGCAGGGCAGGAGCAGGUGGUCACAGAGCUGGUUAACUACGGGGCCAAUGUCAACGCUCAGUCUCAGGAUGGAUUUACUCCUCUGGCUGUGGCUCUUCAGCAGGGACAUGAGAAUGUCGUGGCUUUGCUCAUCAACUACGGCACCA
Molecule: long non-coding RNA, 215 nt
Organism: Thalassophryne amazonica
Lineage: Eukaryota; Metazoa; Chordata; Actinopteri; Batrachoidiformes; Batrachoididae
Exons: 3
Source: RefSeq, a predicted model, not a curated record